Molecule: long non-coding RNA, 632 nt
Organism: Monodelphis domestica (gray short-tailed opossum)
Lineage: Eukaryota; Metazoa; Chordata; Mammalia; Didelphimorphia; Didelphidae
Source: RefSeq, a predicted model, not a curated record
AAGAGUCAGUUAGCUUAUACUGGGAUUCAUUCUCUCUUUACCUGGAGAGGGGCUGGAUACGUUCCUUUGCUGGCUGUGAUAUAUCUGGACUUCUCCAGCCUACCUGUUUCCCUGAACCUGAUUGAACCUCGGUUGAGCUUCUUGAGUGAUCCUGUUCAACUGAGUCAUCUGUCGAAAUUGCCACAGACACCGCAGCCUUGAGCAACCACCACCCUGAUGGGCCAGAAGCCACCAACAUCGAGGCCAGAGCUUCCACUAGCAAAAAGAUUACCAAAAAAAGACUGCUGAAGACUCCAAUGAUGUGGUCUGGAGCUGAACCCAUAAUAUCUCCAAAGUACAUCUAUCCCACAGACUCAUCCUGGACCCUUCUGGCAGUCUGAGGACACAGGACACAGGACAGCAUCUUGACUACUAAGGCACUUGGACUGAAGUGAGGCAGAGUUGCACAAAGUCCUCGAGCUCAUUCGCUGCCAGUCAUCAAAGUCCAGUGACACGACAAGUCAGGAUGACGGGUGACGGCCAAGAUGUAGUGGAUGGAUGACCUUGACGAUGUCAGACCAAACUCUAAGAGCUCCACAGUGCCUGCUUCGGUCCUUUUCAUGUUAUUGGAAUAAAUUGCUCUCAUCAGUCCA